RNAcentral lists this small RNA (134 nucleotides) under Agrobacterium radiobacter. RNAcentral's name for it is "sRNA ar35". It matches the Rfam family "Alphaproteobacterial sRNA ar35". The record is from RNAcentral. Lineage: Bacteria; Pseudomonadati; Pseudomonadota; Alphaproteobacteria; Hyphomicrobiales; Rhizobiaceae.
UCCUAAGCCGGAAAGCAGCGUCGAUAUCUUUGGCGCGCUCUGGAGCAUCAGACCGUUUGAACGCUUUGACCACGGAUGUACUGGCAUUGACGAAAAACGGAUGGAAAGGUCGGGCUUGCCCGGCCUUUUUGUUU